Molecule: long non-coding RNA, 327 nt
Filed under: Polistes fuscatus (common paper wasp)
Lineage: Eukaryota; Metazoa; Arthropoda; Insecta; Hymenoptera; Vespidae
Description: uncharacterized LOC122524666
Source: RNAcentral
ACUUUGACCUUUAUCUGCUAAUCUACCAACCUGAGGAUCUAUAGGUACUUUAACUAAAAAUGGCACCUUUACCAUUUCUGAAAGCGCUACUCCUCCACCUGAUGAAAAUAUAUUUGUACAUUCCUAAAUAAAAGAAGAAUUCCAGUUUUCCUACAAAAUGUAACUUCUCUCAAGACAUCGUCAACUGCAACUGCUUGUGGAGUUGUAACUAGAAUUGCACCAUCGCAUUUGACAUUUCUGAAAUUAGCUUUUACUGACAUGAAAUUUGUAUAAAUAAUGUAUAAAUGUUGGUAAUGAAUUCUUAAAGUAUAUAAGAUACCAUCAAAA